RNAcentral lists this ribosomal RNA (300 nucleotides) under uncultured Hydrogenobacter sp. RNAcentral's name for it is "bacterial SSU rRNA". The stretch from base 52 to 300 matches the Rfam family "Bacterial small subunit ribosomal RNA", at positions 547 to 795 of the family's 1533-position model. Lineage: Bacteria; Pseudomonadati; Aquificota; Aquificia; Aquificales; Aquificaceae. The record is from RNAcentral.
CGGAGGGAGGAGGCAGGAGAGGCGGGAGAAGGUGGGGUGGCAGGGUUGCACGGAUUGUGUGGGCGCAAAGAGGUCGUAGGGGGAUGGGCAGGCGGAGUGGGAAAGACCGAGGAUGAGACGCGGGUCUGCAGUCGAUAAGGGCGAGCUAGAGGGUGGUAGAGGAGAUCGGAAGUCCUGGUGUGGUGGUGAAAUGCGAAGAUAUCAGGAGGAACACCGGUGGCGAAGGCGGAUCUCUGUGCCAUUACGGACGCUGAGGAGCGAACGCGUGGGGAGCGAACAGGAGUAGAUACCCGGGUAGUC